UGCAUCUCCAAGUUUACCGGGCUCAUUUAGUUCCUCCUCACCCUUUAAUGAAGGUGAGCCUGAGGUGCAGAGUAUCAGUGCCUGGCUCACAGACAGCCACCUCCUUCCUGGGGCAACAGGGUCGGGUUGACAAAUUCUGUUCACAAAUCAAGCGUGGAAUUAUUAUCUAGAGCAAGUAGUUGGAUGAUGAUUUGUUAUGUCUUGAGAACCUACCAUACCACGAACACUUUCUGGUUGUCACAGUGAUCAGCAGCCAGGAGCAGCCUGCAAUGUGAAGACAGUCCUGUGGGACAGUCCUAGGCUACAGGGAACUGUCCUGCAUCCUGCAUGUCUUAUAAACAUCCUACUGGACGUCGAUG
Molecule: long non-coding RNA, 359 nt
Filed under: Homo sapiens (human)
Lineage: Eukaryota; Metazoa; Chordata; Mammalia; Primates; Hominidae
Description: HSALNT0032962
Source: RNAcentral